This 962-nucleotide ribosomal RNA is filed under the name uncultured Bacteroidales bacterium. RNAcentral's name for it is "bacterial SSU rRNA". It matches the Rfam family "Bacterial small subunit ribosomal RNA", at positions 386 to 1351 of the family's 1533-position model. The record is from RNAcentral. Lineage: Bacteria; Pseudomonadati; Bacteroidota; Bacteroidia; Bacteroidales.
AACCAGCCAUGCCGCGUGCAGGAAGACGGCUCUAUGAGUUGUAAACUGCUUUUGUACAGGGAUAAUUGUGGGUACGCGUACUCACUUGAAGGUACUGUACGAAUAAGGAUCGGCUAACUCCGUGCCAGCAGCCGCGGUAAUACGGAGGAUCCAAGCGUUAUCCGGAUUUAUUGGGUUUAAAGGGUGCGUAGGCGGCACGGUAAGUUAGCGGUGAAAUCUCGGGGCUCAACCCCGGAACUGCCGUUAAAACUGCUGAGCUAGAGAGUAUAUGAGGUAGGCGGAAUGUGUAGUGUAGCGGUGAAAUGCUUAGAGAUUACACAGAACACCGAUUGCGAAGGCAGCUUACCAAUCUAUGUCUGACGUUGAGGCACGAAAGCGUGGGUAGCAAACAGGAUUAGAUACCCUGGUAGUCCACGCAGUAAACGAUGAUAGCUCGUUGUCGGCGAUACACAGUCGGUGACUUAGCGAAAGCGUUAAGCUAUCCACCUGGGGAGUACGUUCGCAAGAAUGAAACUCAAAGGAAUUGACGGGGGCCCGCACAAGCGGAGGAACAUGUGGUUUAAUUCGAUGAUACGCGAGGAACCUUACCCGGGCUUGAAAGUUAUUGACGGUGGUCGAAAGAUCACUUCCCUUCGGGGCAAGAAACUAGGUGCUGCAUGGUUGUCGUCAGCUCGUGCCGUGAGGUGUCGGAUUAAGUUCCAUAACGAGCGCAACCCUUGCCGUUAGUUGCCAUCAGGUGAUGCUGGGCACUCUAACGGGACUGCCGGUGUAAGCCGAGAGGAAGGUGGGGAUGACGUCAAAUCAGCACGGCCCUUACGUCCGGGGCGACACACGUGUUACAAUGGUCGGUACAGAGGGCAGCUACCCAGCGAUGGGAUGCGAAUCUCGAAAGCCGAUCUCAGUUCGGAUCGGAGGCUGAAACUCGCCUCCGUGAAGUUGGAUUCGCUAGUAAUCGCGCAUCA